This is a long non-coding RNA of Orbicella faveolata, 1236 nucleotides long. The record is from RefSeq and is a predicted model, not a curated record. Lineage: Eukaryota; Metazoa; Cnidaria; Anthozoa; Scleractinia; Merulinidae.
CAAAUGCACCUACCCUGUGACAUUUGCAAAACUGAGUAAUAGAAAUGUAGAUUGAGUGUCAACCAAGGUGUCGAUGGAGUGUCGAUUGAGUAUGGAUCGGGUGUUGUUUGAGUGUCAAUUGAGAGUAUCGAUCAAGGGUAUCAAUCGACACUCGACCACAGAUGCCUUUAGUACACAUAAUCCAGCUUAUCUUUAGUGGGUGAAAUUGUUACAAUGUUUGGUACAAAUCAAACUUGCCAUUAGUUGCAAAUUAUAAAGCUGAGCUCAUAACAAUAUUAUUAUGUGACCUCUCUGGACAGUACCAAUAGUUUUAGGUUUCAUGUCUUGGUCUUUUGAGCAGUAGACAAUUAAAUGCCAAUUAAAAUCUGACUAGGGGAAAUCUGCUUAUGAAUGUUGUUUUUAUCCUUCAGGCUAGCCAUUCUAAAAGAACUGAAGAUAUUAACAGAAUAAAUUAGGAGAGGAUACAAUAUACCUCUGUAGUUCAUAGUCAACUCAGAUGUAGUUUAAUCAUGCAGUGCUCCAAAGUGUGGAAACAUCACAACAUUUUGGAAAAUAAGGAAAAAGAUAACACUACUGAUCAUGAAGAGAUCUGUGGAAAUUACACAGGAACAGCAAUAUUCCCAUAGGUGUGUGUAUUCCUCAUUUCUUGUCACAGUUUAUGUCAGAUUUGUUGGUUUUUUAGAUUGCUAUUUUGCAACGAUAAAAGAUCUUUGUUGUGAGAUGUCCGUUUCUCUGAAAAGUGUUGUGCACUCUGAUGAAAAUAUUUGUCCACAGACAGUAUCAGUUCCCAGAAGCAAACAGUUUACUUAGAGCAAAGCUCAAGGAAAAUCGUGAGCUUUGAGGAGCACAUAGUGCCAAAGACAUAUAUCCUUACAUAUUUUUAAAGUCAAAAUAUGGUGCUAUUGUGUUUAUUAUCCUCAGUCAAAUAUAUCACGCAACACGCUGGAUCUUUUGAAAAUGAGGAAUAUUACUCAUAUAUUUUGCCCAGUUUUACCUGGGGCAUAUUCAGUCACGUGAUGCGUUUAGACCAGCCACGUGAACGAAAAUAUGUUUAUGGACUACAGACAAGACUAUUUUCACCGUUUUUUUGUUAGUAAACUGAGUUUAAGAUUAAAAUUCCUAAACUGCGGUAAAAUUAAAUACAUAUUUGCUAUUGACGGAAGCACAAACUAUGCAGAGGUGGAGUAAUGAUCUGAUUGGUCACGUUUUUGAUGUGAUAUUAGCAAAAACUAUAGG